CUCAAAGGUUCCCUCAGAAUGGUUGGAAAUCAUUCAUAGAGUGUAAAGGCAUAAGGGAGCUUGACUGCGAGACCUACAAGUCGAGCAGGGUCGAAAGACGGACUUAGUGAUCCGGUGGUUCCGCAUGGAAGGGCCAUCGCUCAACGGAUAAAAGCUACCCCGGGGAUAACAGGCUUAUCUCCCCCAAGAGUUCACAUCGACGGGGAGGUUUGGCACCUCGAUGUCGGCUCAUCGCAUCCUGGGGCUGUAGUCGGUCCCAAGGGUUGGGCUGUUCGCCCAUUAAAGCGGUACGCGAGCUGGGUUCAGAACGUCGUGAGACAGUUCGGUCCCUAUCCGUCGUGGGCGUAGGAAAUUUGAGAGGAGCUGUCCUUAGUACGAGAGGACCGGGAUGGACAUACCUCUGGUGUACCAGUUGUCGUGCCAACGGCAUAGCUGGGUAGCUAUGUGUGGACGGGAUAAGUGCUGAAAGCAUCUAAGCAUGAAGCCCCCCUCAAGAUGAGAUUUCCCAACUUCGGUUAUAAGAUCCCUCAAAGAUGAUGAGGUUAAUAGGUUCGAGGUGGAAGCAUGGUGACAUGUGGAGCUGACGAAUACUAA
Molecule: ribosomal RNA, 594 nt
Filed under: Staphylococcus aureus
Lineage: Bacteria; Bacillati; Bacillota; Bacilli; Caryophanales; Staphylococcaceae
Description: partial 23S ribosomal RNA
Rfam family: Bacterial large subunit ribosomal RNA
Source: RNAcentral